GGGGAUUUGGCUUAGUGGUAGAGCGCUUGCCUAGGAAGCGCAAGGUCCUGGGUUCAAUCCCCAGCCCCG
Non-coding RNA from Rattus norvegicus (Norway rat), 69 nucleotides. The record is from Rfam. NCBI's taxonomy places the organism in Eukaryota, Metazoa, Chordata, Mammalia, Rodentia, Muridae.